UGUUUCGGCUAGGGGGCCAUCCCGGCUUACCAACCCGAUGCAAACUGCGAAUACCGGAGAAUGUUAUCACGGGAGACACACGGCGGGUGCUAACGUCCGUCGUGAAGAGGGAAACAACCCAGACCGCCAGCUAAGGUCCCAAAGUCAUGGUUAAGUGGGAAACGAUGUGGGAAGGCCCAGACAGCCAGGAUGUUGGCUUAGAAGCAGCCAUCAUUUAAAGAAAGCGUAAUAGCUCACUGGUCGAGUCGGCCUGCGCGGAAGAUGUAACGGGGCUAAACCAUGCACCGAAGCUGCGGCAGCGACACUGUGUGUUGUUGGGUAGGGGAGCGUUCUGUAAGCCUGCGAAGGUGUGCUGUGAGGCAUGCUGGAGGUAUCAGAAGUGCGAAUGCUGACAUAAGUAACGAUAAAGCGGGUGAAAAGCCCGCUCGCCGGAAGACCAAGGGUUCCUGUCCAACGUUAAUCGGGGCAGGGUGAGUCGACCCCUAAGGCGAGGCCGAAAGGCGUAGUCGAUGGGAAACGGGUUAAUAUUCCCGUACUUGGUGUUACUGCGAAGGGGGGACGGAGAAGGCUAUGUUGGCCGGGCGACGGUUGUCCCGGUUUAAGCGUGUAGGUGUGUGUUCCAGGUAAAUCCGGUUCACUUUAACACUGAGGCGUGACGACGAGGCACUACGGUGCUGAAGCAACAAAUGCCCUGCUUCCAGGAAAAGCCUCUAAGCAUCAGGUAACAUCAAAUCGUACCCCAAACCGACACAGGUGGUCAGGUAGAGAAUACCAAGGCGCUUGAGAGAACUCGGGUGAAGGAACUAGGCAAAAUGGUGCCGUAACUUCGGGAGAAGGCACGCUGACACGUAGGUGAAGUGAUUUACUCACGGAGCUGAAGUCAGUCGAAGAUACCAGCUGGCUGCAACUGUUUAUUAAAAACACAGCACUGUGCAAACACGAAAGUGGACGUAUACGGUGUGACGCCUGCCCGGUGCCGGAAGGUUAAUUGAUGGGGUCAGCGCAAGCGAAGCUCCUGAUCGAAGCCCCGGUAAACGGCGGCCGUAACUAUAACGGUCCUAAGGUAGCGAAAUUCCUUGUCGGGUAAGUUCCGACCUGCACGAAUGGCGUAAUGAUGGCCAGGCUGUCUCCACCCGAGACUCAGUGAAAUUGAACUCGCUGUGAAGAUGCAGUGUACCCGCGGCAAGACGGAAAGACCCCGUGAACCUUUACUAUAGCUUGACACUGAACAUUGAGCCUUGAUGUGUAGGAUAGGUGGGAGGCUUUGAAGCGUGGACGCCAGUCUGCGUGGAGCCGACCUUGAAAUACCACCCUUUAAUGUUUGAUGUUCUAACGUGGACCCGUGAUCCGGGUUGCGGACAGUGUCUGGUGGGUAGUUUGACUGGGGCGGUCUCCUCCUAAAGAGUAACGGAGGAGCACGAAGGUUGGCUAAUCCUGGUCGGACAUCAGGAGGUUAGUGCAAUGGCAUAAGCCAGCUUGACUGCGAGCGUGACGGCGCGAGCAGGUGCGAAAGCAGGUCAUAGUGAUCCGGUGGUUCUGAAUGGAAGGGCCAUCGCUCAACGGAUAAAAGGUACUCCGGGGAUAACAGGCUGAUACCGCCCAAGAGUUCAUAUCGACGGCGGUGUUUGGCACCUCGAUGUCGGCUCAUCACAUCCUGGGGCUGAAGUAGGUCCCAAGGGUAUGGCUGUUCGCCAUUUAAAGUGGUACGCGAGCUGGGUUUAGAACGUCGUGAGACAGUUCGGUCCCUAUCUGCCGUGGGCGCUGGAGAACUGAGGGGGGCUGCUCCUAGUACGAGAGGACCGGAGUGGACGCAUCACUGGUGUUCGGGUUGUCAUGCCAAUGGCACUGCCCGGUAGCUAAAUGCGGAAGAGAUAAGUGCUGAAAGCAUCUAAGCACGAAACUUGCCCCGAGAUGAGUUCUCCCUGAGACUUUAGGUCUCCUGAAGGAACGUUGAAGACGACGACGUUGAUAGGCCGGGUGUGUAAGCGCAGCGAUGCGUUGAGCUAACCGGUACUAAUGAACCGUGAGGCUUAACCUUACAACGCCGAAG
Molecule: ribosomal RNA, 2050 nt
Filed under: Salmonella enterica subsp. enterica serovar Duesseldorf
Lineage: Bacteria; Pseudomonadati; Pseudomonadota; Gammaproteobacteria; Enterobacterales; Enterobacteriaceae
Description: partial 23S ribosomal RNA
Rfam family: Bacterial large subunit ribosomal RNA
Source: RNAcentral